RNAcentral lists this ribosomal RNA (253 nucleotides) under uncultured bacterium. Its description in RNAcentral is "partial 16S ribosomal RNA". It matches the Rfam family "Bacterial small subunit ribosomal RNA", at positions 524 to 776 of the family's 1533-position model. The record is from RNAcentral.
UACGAGGGGGGCAAGCGUUGUUCGGAAUUAUUGGGCGUAAAGGGUGCGUAGGCGGUCUGACAAGUCUGAUGUGAAACCUAUGGGCUCAACCCAUAGUCUGCAUCGGAAACUGUCGGGCUGGAGUAUGGGAGAGGUGAGUGGAAUUUCCGGUGUAGCGGUGAAAUGCGUAGAUAUCGGAAGGAACACCUGUGGCGAAAGCGGCUCACUGGACCAUUACUGACGCUGAUGCACGAAAGCUAGGGGAGCAAACAGG